Molecule: ribosomal RNA, 356 nt
Filed under: uncultured bacterium
Lineage: Bacteria
Description: partial 16S ribosomal RNA
Rfam family: Bacterial small subunit ribosomal RNA
Source: RNAcentral
CCUACGGGAGGCAGCAGUGAGGAAUAUUGGUCAAUGGACGAGAGUCUGAACCAGCCAAGUAGCGUGAAGGAUGACUGCCCUAUGGGUUGUAAACUUCUUUUAUAAAGGAAUAAAGCGAGGCACGUGUGCCUUUUUGCAUGUACUUUAUGAAUAAGGAUCGGCUAACUCCGUGCCAGCAGCCGCGGUAAUACGGAGGAUCCGAGCGUUAUCCGGAUUUAUUGGGGUUAAAGGGAGCGUAGAUGGGUUGUUAAGUCAGUUGUGAAAGUUUGCGGCUCAACCGUAAAAUUGCAAUUGAUACUGGCAGUCUUGAGUACAGGUGAGGUAGGGGGAAGUUGUGGGGGAGCCGUGAAAUUGCU